ACUUGAAUAAUUUAUUUAAAAUAUUAGUUUGUGGUUCUAAUUAUGCAUUUAUUUGCUUUAAGUU
RNAcentral lists this transfer RNA (64 nucleotides) under Cryptophyllium westwoodii. Its description in RNAcentral is "tRNA-His". Lineage: Eukaryota; Metazoa; Arthropoda; Insecta; Phasmatodea; Phylliidae. The record is from RNAcentral.